CGGCGCCUGGAUCACCGGCGCCCGGGUCGCCGGCGCCGGCGCCGUUAGCAAGGUUGGAGACGCCGGGUUCGAGGCCGGGAACGUCGG
This 87-nucleotide transfer RNA is filed under the name Rugosimonospora africana. Its description in RNAcentral is "tRNA-Ala". Lineage: Bacteria; Bacillati; Actinomycetota; Actinomycetes; Micromonosporales; Micromonosporaceae. The record is from RNAcentral.